Pungitius pungitius (ninespine stickleback) is the source of this 1128-nucleotide long non-coding RNA. RefSeq lists it as uncharacterized. The transcript is spliced from 3 exons. NCBI's taxonomy places the organism in Eukaryota, Metazoa, Chordata, Actinopteri, Perciformes, Gasterosteidae. The record is from RefSeq and is a predicted model, not a curated record.
AUGAAAAGACAAUGUAGAGAUACAAGUAACGUCAAUACCAGUUAUUUCAUCCCCUUUCCUUAUUGAUUGAUAGUGUCUUACACAACAUCAGGCCCUGCCCAAAUGGGUUUAUAACUCGUUAAAGAGCAACAAACAACAAGAGGAUCCCACCUCCAACUUAUUAAAGAAAUGACGGAACGCAUCAAAUCGGACAGUAGAUUCUGUCGGUUUCUGUACGUGGGGCAUUGAAUAACAUCUAAAUCAUCUUCAUGACUACCAACAUCACAAAGAACCCAUGAACAUGGCUCCUCAGGAAUGCCUCUAUACCUGUUGACUUCAUCGGGGUUAUGCGUAUGGUGUGGGUGGAAAACGUAACAGCACUGUCUCCUGCCUCGUCACGGAUAGCUGGAGGUCAUCAGACAUUCCCAUUCCCAUCAGCACAGUUGGGCCUCGGCCAGAAACAUGCACGGAUGCUUCGGUAGCACCACUCAAGGCGUGGGCAGGAAGACCUUGUGUGGCGGCGGACACCUGUGAUGGAGUCCAUCUGGAGAUAAGGGUUGGAGGUCACAUGCCUCCUGUAAGCUACUGUGCAGGUUUAACACAGAAACUUGCACAGGGCCUCCCAGGCACAGCUGUGGAAUUGUGGAUGCCCAGAGGCAGCAGUGCCUGUGACAUUUUUAAUCAAUCAAAGGAAAACCCGUAAAGCUGUUCAUGUAAUCCAGCCUCGGACCUGAAUUCUUAAGCCUUUAGACCUCCCCAAAAUAGACUCAGACAGUGGAACUAAGCAGACUUGAAAGUUUACUCUGGUGGUGGAUGGUGGGGAUAUUUUUAGAAGCUGCCGCAGUCUGAUUAUUAUGAUGUAUCAUUCCAGAGGUUUUUCUUUGAAGAAUGCAAAUGAGUUUUUAUCAAUAAGCUUUGUCAAACCAGCAUUCAUCCUAUCCAUAGACACAUGUGGGACCAUAUGACUUAGUUUCAUGAAUUCCAAAAUGUUCAUUUUUGGCCUCUCACUUGAGGCAGCAACUUUUGUUUCCCACAGACUGAUACGCUCUGUUGUGGUGGUACAUUCUGAUGUGAAGUAAAUACUAGAACACAGUUCAAUAUGUAAUUAAGCACCUACAACCUUUUAUGCAAAAAUGUGUUUCCUGCAAG